AACCCAUUUCAACUGCCUAUUCAGAGCAUGCAGUAAGAGGAAAUCCACCAAGUCUCAAUAUAAUAAUAUUCUUUACUCCUGGAUAGCUCAGUUAAUGAAAAAAUGGACACGGAAAGUAAUAGGAGAGCAAAUCUUGCUCUCCCACAAGAGCCUUCCAGCGUGCCUGCAUUUGAAGUCUUGGAAAUAUCUCCCCAGGAAGUAUCUUCAGGCAGACUGUUGAAGUCGGCCUCAUCCCCACCACAGCAUACAUGGCUGACAGUUUUGAAAAAAGAGCAGGAGUUCCUGGGGGUAACACAAAUUCUGACUGCUAUGAUAUGCCUUUGUUUUGGAACAGUUGUCUGCUCUGUACUUGAUAUUUCACACAUUGAGGGAGACAUUUUUUCAUCAUUUAAAGCAGGUUAUCCAUUCUGGGGAGCCAUAUUUUUUUCUAUUUCUGGAAUUUUGUCAAUUAUAUCUGAAAGGAGAAAUGCAACAUAUCUGGUGAGAGGAAGCCUGGGAGCAAACACUGCCAGCAGCAUAGCUGGGGGAACGGGAAUUACCAUCCUGAUCAUCAACCUGAAGAAGAGCUUGGCUUAUAUCCAUAUCCACAGUUGCCAGAAAUUUUUUGAGACCAAGUGCUUUAUGGCUUCCUUUUCCACUGUAUGUAUUUUUUUUGUGUGGGAAGACUAAGAUUCUGGGUCCUAAUGUAAGUAAGAAGCCCUCUUCUGUUCCAUGAACACCAUCCUUUUCUGUAACUUCUAUUACAUAGUAUAGUGUUCUGUAAGUUCACACAGUCCAGGGAGAUGCUGGAUGCCCACUCCCCUCAACCCAGGCAAAUUCGUCGGGGUUAAAGUUAUCUACUGCAAGUGACGAUCUCUGGGUUUUUCUGUGCCUGUGUUUGUGUGUGCGUGUGUGUGUGUGUGUGUGUGUAUGUGUCACUUUAGAAGGACUGGUCAGAUGGUAGGGAGAUGAAAACAGGAGAUGCUAUACGAAAAUAAACUUUUGGGGCGCAUACCAUGUGACUCUUUUUGUUUGUCGUUUGUUGCUGUUCAAUAGGAAAUUGUAGUGAUGAUGCUGUUUCUCACCAUUCUGGGACUUGGUAGUGCUGUGUCACUCACAAUCUA
This 1103-nucleotide small RNA is filed under the name Pongo abelii (Sumatran orangutan). RNAcentral describes it as "retained intron". The record is from RNAcentral. Lineage: Eukaryota; Metazoa; Chordata; Mammalia; Primates; Hominidae.